This 690-nucleotide ribosomal RNA is filed under the name uncultured cyanobacterium. Its description in RNAcentral is "bacterial SSU rRNA". It matches the Rfam family "Bacterial small subunit ribosomal RNA", at positions 81 to 804 of the family's 1533-position model. The record is from RNAcentral. Lineage: Bacteria; Bacillati; Cyanobacteriota.
AGUCUUCGGACUUAGUGGCGGACGGGUGAGUAACGCGUGAGAAUCUGCCUUUUGGACGGGGAUAACAGUUGGAAACGACUGCUAAGACCCGAUGUGCCUAUGGGUGAAAGUAAUUUAGCCAGAAGAUGAGCUCGCGUCAGAUUAGCUAGUUGGAGUGGUAACGGCACACCAAGGCGACGAUCUGUAGCUGGUCUGAGAGGAUGACCAGCCACACUGGGACUGAGACACGGCCCAGACUCCUACGGGAGGCAGCAGUGGGGAAUUUUCCGCAAUGGGCGAAAGCCUGACGGAGCAAGACCGCGUGGGGGAGGAAGGUCUGUGGAUUGUAAACCCCUUUUGUCAAGGAAGAACACAAUGACGGUACUUGACGAAUCAGCAUCGGCUAACUCCGUGCCAGCAGCCGCGGUAAUACGGAGGAUGCAAGCGUUAUCCGGAUUUAUUGGGCGUAAAGCGUCCGUAGGUGGUUGUUCAAGUCUGCUGUCAAAGCGCGAGGCUUAACUUCGUAAAGGCAGUGGAAACUGAGCGACUUGAGAAUGAUAGGGGCAGAGGGAAUUCCCAGUGUAGCGGUGAAAUGCGUAGAGAUUGGGAAGAACACCGGUGGCGAAAGCGCUCUGCUGGGUCAUAUCUGACACUGAGGGACGAAAGCUAGGGGAGCGAAAGGGAUUAGAUACCCCUGUAGUCCUAGCCGUA